CCUCUGGUAGUUACAGCUAUAUUUACAGUCGUUUGACAAGAUGUUACAUAGUUAUAUUGGCUGAAAAGAGACGUGUCUAUCAAGUUAAGUCUCUCACACAUCUGUUUUUGCUGUUGAUCCAAACAAAGGCAAACCCCCAAAAAAAAAAACACCCAGUUUGAAGCACUUCCAAUUUUGCAAUAAACUAGGAAAAAGAUUCCUUCUU
This is a non-coding RNA of Pelobates cultripes (western spadefoot toad), 205 nucleotides long. NCBI's taxonomy places the organism in Eukaryota, Metazoa, Chordata, Amphibia, Anura, Pelobatidae. The record is from the annotation of a GenBank genome assembly.